RNAcentral lists this ribosomal RNA (297 nucleotides) under uncultured eukaryote. RNAcentral describes it as "partial 18S ribosomal RNA". It matches the Rfam family "Eukaryotic small subunit ribosomal RNA", at positions 617 to 919 of the family's 1831-position model. The record is from RNAcentral.
GGUUAAAAGCUCGUAGUUGGAUUUCUGUCGAAGACGGUCGGUCCGCUCUACGAGCGUGUAUCAGAUUCGGCUUUGGCAUCCUCGUGGGGGACGUAACUGUGCUUGAUUGCAUGGUGCGGAAUUCACGACUUUUACUUUGAGGAAAUUAGAGUGUUCACGGCAGGCAAGCGCCUUGAAUAUAUUAGCAUGGAAUAAUAAUAUAGGACUUUGGUUCUAUUUUGUUGGUUUCUAGGACUAAAGUAAUGAUUAAUAGGGAUAAUUGGGGGCAUUUGUAUUAGCGCGUCGGAGGUGGAAUUC